GUCUACGGCCAUACCACCCUGAACGCGCCCGAUCUCGUCUGAUCUCUGAAGCUAAGCAGGGUUGGGCCUGGUUAGUACUUGGAUGGGAGGCCGGCCUAGGAAUACCGGGUGCUAUAGGCU
This is a ribosomal RNA of Monodelphis domestica (gray short-tailed opossum), 120 nucleotides long. The record is from Ensembl. NCBI's taxonomy places the organism in Eukaryota, Metazoa, Chordata, Mammalia, Didelphimorphia, Didelphidae.